RNAcentral lists this ribosomal RNA (91 nucleotides) under Candidatus Faecalibacterium intestinigallinarum. Lineage: Bacteria; Bacillati; Bacillota; Clostridia; Eubacteriales; Oscillospiraceae. The record is from RNAcentral.
ACCUGUUCCCAUUCCGAACACAGAAGUUAAGCUCACUUGUGCCGAAGAUAGUUGGCUGGACACGGCCUGUGAAAAUAGGUAGAUGCCGGCG